CAAUAGCGUAUAUUAAAGUUGUUGCAGUUAAAAAGCUCGUAGUUGGAUUUGUGGCGUGCGGUGUGUUCCGGGCACUUGUUGUCUGAGUAACCUGCCGCUGCCAUCCUUGGGUGGAACCUGUGUGGCAUUAGGUUGUCGUGCAGGGGAUGCCCAUCAUUUACUGUGAAAAAAUUAGAGUGUUCAAAGCAGGCUUAUGCCGUUGAAUAUAUUAGCAUGGAAUAAUGAGAUAGGACUUUUUUGCUAUUUUGUUGGUUUGCGCAAAGAGGUAAUGAUUAAUAGGGACAGUUGGGGGUAUUCGUAUUCCAUUGUCAGAGGUGAAAUUCUUGGAUUUUUGGAAGACGAACUACUGCGAAAGCAUUUACCAAGGAUGCUUUCAUUAA
Molecule: ribosomal RNA, 380 nt
Filed under: uncultured eukaryote
Lineage: Eukaryota
Description: partial 18S ribosomal RNA
Rfam family: Eukaryotic small subunit ribosomal RNA
Source: RNAcentral